UACGUAGGGCGCAAGCGUUGUCCGGAAUUAUUGGGCGUAAAGAGCUCGUAGGCGGCUUGUCACGUCGGAUGUGAAAGCUCAGAGCUCAACUCAGAGAGGCCAUUCGAUACGGGAUAGCUAGAGGCAGCUAGGGGAGAGUGGAAUUCCUGGUGUAGCGGUGAAAUGCGCAGAUAUCAGGAGGAACACCGGUGGCGAAGGCGGCUCUCUGGGGC
This 212-nucleotide ribosomal RNA is filed under the name uncultured bacterium. RNAcentral describes it as "partial 16S ribosomal RNA". It matches the Rfam family "Bacterial small subunit ribosomal RNA", at positions 524 to 735 of the family's 1533-position model. The record is from RNAcentral.